This 516-nucleotide ribosomal RNA is filed under the name Oncomelania hupensis hupensis. RNAcentral describes it as "partial large subunit ribosomal RNA". It matches the Rfam family "Bacterial large subunit ribosomal RNA", at positions 1812 to 2603 of the family's 2925-position model. The record is from RNAcentral. Lineage: Eukaryota; Metazoa; Mollusca; Gastropoda; Littorinimorpha; Pomatiopsidae.
AACAUGGCUCUUUGAGAUUUAUAUAUAAAGAGUCGGGCCUGCCCAGUGAUGUAUUUUUAACGGCCGCGGUACUCUGACCGUGCGAAGGUAGCAUAAUCAUUUGCCCUAUAAUUGAGGGCUAGUAUGAAUGGUUUGACAUGAGCAUAACUGUCUCCUUAAAAUUUUAUAAAAUUUGGUUUUUAGGUGAAGAAACCUAAAUUAAAUUGAAAGACAAGAAGACCCUAUCGAGCUUUAGAAUAAUUAGUUAAAAAAUAUAAAUAAAACAAUUAAUUUUAAUUAAAAACUUUGGUUGGGGCGACUGAGGAACAUAUAAAGCUUCCUUAAUUAAACAAUGCUGAUAAGCAAUGAUCCAGGAAAUCUGAUUAAAAAAAUUAGUUACCGUAGGGAUAACAGCAUAAUCUUUUUUGAGAGCUCUUAUCGAAAAAAAGGUUUGUGACCUCGAUGUUGGACUAGGAUAUCCUAAAGAUGUAGAAGUCUUUAAUGGUUGCUCUGUUCGAGCAUAAAAAUCCUACGUGA